Molecule: long non-coding RNA, 958 nt
Filed under: Nicotiana tabacum (common tobacco)
Lineage: Eukaryota; Viridiplantae; Streptophyta; Magnoliopsida; Solanales; Solanaceae
Description: long non-coding RNA (NTAB_LNC003359)
Source: RNAcentral
GGGAAUAAUUCUUGGGAAUGCGGUCCCUAAAAAUAAGGAGAAAGGAUAUUUUUUCUAACCAAUUUUCUACUGAUGUCCCUUUUUAUAAGAUAUUAUCCUAUUUUCAGCAUUUUUUAAAACUGAAAAUGGACAGUUGUCCAAUACUAUAAGCUUCUUUUGGUUUUCAAACUUCUAAAAAUAACCCUUCUUACCCCAGAUUUUGACUCAAAUUCCUUGUUUUAUUACCCUAAGUUUUAAGUUCCCUUAAACCCACCUCAAGUUUCAAUUAAGACAUAAAAAAAAAACACAAACACACUGAUGUGAACAAACAUUAACCAACCAAAUUAUUUAACAAGUUAAUUGAUAACUUAUGCAACUAAAAACACUAACUGAAUCCGGCCAGAACAGAAAACCAAAUGAAAAUGAUAAUCAAAAAGAUAUUAAUCUUAAAUCAUACAAUUAACUUAAAUAUUGAACUAUGCCUAACUAAUUAUUCAAAAGAAAAAAACAGAAAAAGAAACAAGAAAAAGGAAAAAGGUAAGUAUACUAAUUUGACAGUAAGUGAGUCAACGAUUGAUGCGAAUCAACGAGCGAUGAUGGCGACGAAGCUUGGCCGGUCAGUGGUGACUUGGCCAGAAUCCAACGGGUUUAGAAAUGAACGAAAUUAACAUGAAUUGAUUGCUUGUAUCAAGAGCAAUCGACUCAUGUAAGUUUGAGUCAAAACAUGCUUGAAAUUUUCAGAAAAAAUCAUAUUUAGGUUUAUGAUUUUCUUAGAUUUGAAAUUGACCGAAUUUGGUGGGUAUUUUGGAGAAGAUGAUGAUGUAUUAGGGUUGAGGGGAAGAUGGGGAGUGUAUGGUGUAAUUUUGGGAUGGUUUGGAGUGGCACCGCCGCCGUGGGCGAUUUUCGGCGACGGUGGGCGGCUACGGCUUCUCUGAGUUAAGAGAGACAGAGAAUGAGAGAGUCUUGGGGAGGGGGGGAG